Molecule: long non-coding RNA, 1016 nt
Filed under: Brassica napus (rape)
Lineage: Eukaryota; Viridiplantae; Streptophyta; Magnoliopsida; Brassicales; Brassicaceae
Description: long non-coding RNA (BNAP_LNC024110)
Source: RNAcentral
UGAGCUUUCUCUCUCAGUCGAUCUUAUGGUUUGUUCUAGAGAGAGAAAAUGGCUUAAAACCGAUACAAUUUUUGAGUAUGUGAGGUGAGUGUGGAAGGCUUUUGCGUGGCUUGAUCCUUGCUCUAGGAUCGGUUGUGGAGUGCUAGGAGUGGUGGUAAGACCUUAGUUGAUCGUUUGUAGGUUCCCUUUUCCCUCUUAGCCUUUAGCCUCUCUUUGAUCGGUUUUAGUGUUAACCUUAGGUCUUUUGCUUUUGGAGCUGUUGUGCGGUUUGUGAAGUUUUAGGUGGGUUUCCCUGGUUGUGUUGUGUGUUCUAACCGUGUGUGUGUGCAGGUGGAGGAGCAUGAAACGUUUUAGUUCUUGUGAUUGAACCACAUUUGUGGCUAUGAUUGUUUGUGUGUGUGUGUGUGUGGGAGAUUGAUAGUCCCCAUACUUGAGUGUUUACUUUCUUGCAUGCAUUAGUUGUAUUUGUGCAUUGCAUGUCUUGUGGUGGUGAACAUAUUCAUCUAGGGGUGAUGAUAUGUUAGACAUGCAUUGUGUUGUUAGGUCGUUAGUUGCAUGCAUGCAUUCGUUUGAUUAGUUGUAGCUUAUGAGUUGUUGUUGUGAAGCAUGAAGAUUUGAGUGUAACUCUCUCAUGUAGUUCAUAUGCUCAUGCAUUGUAGUGUAGUUUGGGGUUGCAAAGAGAUUUGAGUGAGACUCUCUCUUUUGCAGGGUAGUUGUUGUUUUGUUUUGGGAACUCACUGAGUGAUUUCGAUUACUCAUUCCCUCUUCUACUAUGCAGGUAACCUUAGGGGAUUGGGCGUUUGCGGGGUGCGGAGGACGAGUCCAGGCGUAGAUUUUCGUUGUUGUUUGCAAGGCGCAAGAUGUUAAUGUUUUCAUUCGUUUUGUUUUUCAUGGGUAACCGUUGACUCGUUUGUUUUUAUUUUCUGCUGCGUUUAUCUUUAAGGACUUUAGUCGAGUUCCCGACUGUAAAAUAAAUAAAAUUAUGUUUGUUUUAAUAAAAUCUCCGUAGAACGCUG